GCGAACGGGUGAGUAACACGUGAGCAAUCUGCCCCUGACUCUGGGAUAAGCGCUGGAAACGGCGUCUAAUACCGGAUACGAGCUGCGACCGCAUGGUCAGUAGCUGGAAAGAAUUUCGGUCAGGGAUGAGCUCGCGGCCUAUCAGCUUGUUGGUGAGGUAAUGGCUCACCAAGGCGUCGACGGGUAGCCGGCCUGAGAGGGUGACCGGCCACACUGGGACUGAGACACGGCCCAGACUCCUACGGGAGGCAGCAGUGGGGAAUAUUGCACAAUGGGCGAAAGCCUGAUGCAGCAACGCCGCGUGAGGGAUGACGGCCUUCGGGUUGUAAACCUCUUUUAGCAGGGAAGAAGCGAAAGUGACGGUACCUGCAGAAAAAGCGCCGGCUAACUACGUGCCAGCAGCCGCGGUAAUACGUAGGGCGCAAGCGUUAUCCGGAAUUAUUGGGCGUAAAGAGCUCGUAGGCGGUCUGUCGCGUCUGCUGUGAAAACCCGAGGCUCAACCUCGGGCCUGCAGUGGGUACGGGCAGACUAGAGUGCGGUAGGGGAGAUUGGAAUUCCUGGUGUAGCGGUGGAAUGCGCAGAUAUCAGGAGGAACACCGAUGGCGAAGGCAGAUCUCUGGGCCGUAACUGACGCUGAGGAGCGAAAGGGUGGGGAGCAAACAGGCUUAGAUACCCUGGUAGUCCACCCCGUAAACGUUGGGAACUAGUUGUGGGGUCCAUUCCACGGAUUCCGUGACGCAGCUAACGCAUUAAGUUCCCCGCCUGGGGAGUACGGCCGCAAGGCUAAAACUCAAAGGAAUUGACGGGGACCCGCACAAGCGGCGGAGCAUGCGGAUUAAUUCGAUGCAACGCGAAGAACCUUACCAAGGCUUGACAUAUAGAGGAAACGUCUGGAAACAGUCGCCCCGCAAGGUCUCUAUACAGGUGGUGCAUGGUUGUCGUCAGCUCGUGUCGUGAGAUGUUGGGUUAAGUCCCGCAACGAGCGCAACCCUCGUUCUAUGUUGCCAGCACGUAAUGGUGGGAACUCAUGGGAUACUGCCGGGGUCAACUCGGAGGAAGGUGGGGAUGACGUCAAAUCAUCAUGCCCCUUAUGUCUUGGGCUUCACGCAUGCUACAAUGGCCGGUACAAAGGGCUGCAAUACCGUGAGGUGGAGCGAAUCCCAAAAAGCCGGUCCCAGUUCGGAUUGAGGUCUGCAACUCGACCUCAUGAAGUCGGAGUCGCUAGUAAUCGCAGAUCAGCAACGCUGCGGUGAAUACGUUCCCGGGUCUUGUACACACCGCCCGUCAAGGCAUGAAAGUCGGUAACACCUGAAGCCGGUGGCCCAACC
This 1328-nucleotide ribosomal RNA is filed under the name Microbacterium arborescens. RNAcentral's name for it is "bacterial SSU rRNA". It matches the Rfam family "Bacterial small subunit ribosomal RNA", at positions 98 to 1440 of the family's 1533-position model. The record is from RNAcentral. Lineage: Bacteria; Bacillati; Actinomycetota; Actinomycetes; Micrococcales; Microbacteriaceae.